RNAcentral lists this ribosomal RNA (253 nucleotides) under uncultured bacterium. RNAcentral's name for it is "partial 16S ribosomal RNA". It matches the Rfam family "Bacterial small subunit ribosomal RNA", at positions 524 to 776 of the family's 1533-position model. The record is from RNAcentral.
UAUAGAGGUUGCAAGCGUUGUUCGGAAUUACUGGGCGUAAAGGGCGCGUAGGCGGUCUUGUAAGUCCCGUGUGAAAGCCCCCGGCUCAACUGGGGAACGGCACGGGAAACUGCGAGGCUUGUGUUCGGGUGAGGGAAGCGGAAUUCCGGGUGUAGCGGUGAAAUGCGUAGAUAUCCGGAGGAACACCAGUGGCGAAGGCGGCUCCCGGGACCGGUACUGACGCUGAGGGGCGAAAGCUGGGGGAGCAGACGGG